CUCGCCUGAAGGCGAAGGCUUGUGAAAGCCUUGGGUGACUAGCCUAAGUUUGCCGAAAGGCGAACUACGUUGGUUGAGAAUACAUAGGCACUGCAGGAUGUACAUCCUAGUCCUGCACUCUGC
Molecule: small RNA, 123 nt
Filed under: uncultured Duodenibacillus sp.
Lineage: Bacteria; Pseudomonadati; Pseudomonadota; Betaproteobacteria; Burkholderiales; Sutterellaceae
Description: HNH endonuclease-associated RNA and ORF (HEARO) RNA
Rfam family: HNH endonuclease-associated RNA and ORF (HEARO) RNA
Source: RNAcentral